Molecule: ribosomal RNA, 462 nt
Filed under: uncultured bacterium
Lineage: Bacteria
Description: partial 16S ribosomal RNA
Rfam family: Bacterial small subunit ribosomal RNA
Source: RNAcentral
GACGAACGCUGGCGGCGUGCUUAACACAUGCAAGUCGAGCGGAAAGGCCCUUCGGGGUACUCGAGCGGCGAACGGGUGAGUGACACGUGCGUAACCUGCUCCAGGCUUUGGGAUAACCCCGGGCAAACGGGGCUACUACCGGAUCUGACCUGGUGCCGCAUGGUGUUGGGGGGCAUGUUUCUUCGGCCUGGGAUGGGAGCGCGGCCCAUCAGCUUGUUGGGGGGGUGUUGGCCCCCGAAGGCGCUGCCGGGUGGCCGGCCUUGGAGGGCGACCGGCCACACUGGGACUGAGACACGGCCCAGACUCCUACGGGAGGCAGCAGUGGGGAAUAUUGCACAAUGGGCGGAAGCCUGAUGCAGCGACGCCGUGUGAGGGAUGAAGGCCUUCGGGUUGUAAACCUCUUUCAGCAGGGACGAAGCGUGAGUGACGGUACCUGCAGAAGAAGCGCCGGCCAACUACGUG